ACGCAACCCGCCUCCACCUACUCCUUCCUCCUUUCCCCUUCUCCACGGCAAGAAACCAGAAGAAAAACACCAUGGCCGCAUCUCACAGAAACGUUGAACGUGUCGUCGCCUCCGACCACCCCUCGCCGAGCUGAAGCCACGGAAAGAUGCGCCACGUUCUCCUCUACCUGCUCGUCCAAGGAAUCGAGCCGGGGCUCGUCCAAUCAAGCAUACGGUCGCCGAUUCCCCGCAGCGUUCGUCAUGCUUCUUCUCCGAUUCCGGCCGCCACACCCUUCUCCGGCCUUCGGCGUCUGCACCAUCAGCUUCCCGGUGAAGUUCCCGUUCCCCUGGACCUCUUCUUCAUCCCCGUCUUGCUCUGGUUCGAUCCAACGUCGGUGACCGUCUCUUUUAUCCGCAGGACCACGCCGCCGGCAAGGCUCCGGUGACCCCUGGCUUUGGCUCCACCACCAUCUGGUUCACCUCGUCGAGGCGCCCCAGCGCUCCAUCUCCUGCGUCCCGGUUUGUGCCGAAUCCAUUGAUCGGUGCUCAACCAGAGCUCACCUCCGCCAUGGAUGUUUUGUUCCCCAGAUCUCCGCCUUGGCUUGGUUCAAAACGUUGCGUGACAUGGACUUGACACGAUCAGACAUGUAGCAUAGUGAUCCAGCGCCUAUUGGGCCUAGGCCCAUGUUCCCGCCAGCUUCUUCGACGCUGAGCGUGCGUCAGGCCUCUAUCCGCUGCUCAGCAUUUGCUUCUUCCCGGAUAGGAUCGCGAAGUGAUGUGGUGAGAUACGCCAAGUUCUCCGGAUGUUCCUCGGCAAGCUUUAACAGGCAAGCAUUUCCCUAUACUCCUGUCCCUGCAGGAGUCGCUCACCUAUUUUAUUUUGCCUUCUCCCUCAUGCUAUCCUUAAGUUGCGUUCUUGUCGCGUGUCCCUUCCACUUGUUACCUCAAGCAGCCUAUAUUGCCUCCACCAAUCUCCUACAGCUAUUGUUUGGUUUCGGGUCUGCCUUGCGAGUCGUAGUGCAUGCUAGUGCUGUUUAUAUCUCGUUACCGUUAUUGCUAUCUUAUCGGGUUAUCUGUUGGAAGUUCAUGACACAUGGUUUAUGGAUAUAUCUGUUGAGGGUAUCAUGGUUACUUUAAUUGUUAAGCGGAGGCAUCAGUGAGUCAGUUGCUCGUUUUAUGACGGCUCACUUGUGUUUCUUUAAAGCUUAGGACCCGAGUUCCUGUUAUCUGUUCCGAGACUGAGCGCUCUAACCACACGUGGGUAUGUUUAUUGGGUCUCCCCUCGACCACUACCGGAAUCUUCAGCUUUGUCCAGUGGCCACAACUAGUUUGCAUGUUUUACCAUUUGUUGUUCGCGUGCAUGCCAGCCUGUUACUUCUUUAUCUUUGGGAAGCCCCUGGGUGCCUUGUAUCCCUUGUUUCUGGUAUGCACGUAUAGGUCGCGGAGCCGCUGCGAAGUGGUUUAUCGCCCCAGUGUGUGUUUAAACCAC
This is a long non-coding RNA of Lolium perenne, 1468 nucleotides long. RefSeq lists it as uncharacterized. The record is from RefSeq and is a predicted model, not a curated record. NCBI's taxonomy places the organism in Eukaryota, Viridiplantae, Streptophyta, Magnoliopsida, Poales, Poaceae.